Rhipicephalus sanguineus (brown dog tick) is the source of this 80-nucleotide non-coding RNA. The record is from the annotation of a RefSeq genome assembly. Lineage: Eukaryota; Metazoa; Arthropoda; Arachnida; Ixodida; Ixodidae.
GCUGGUUUCCGUGGUGUAGUGGUUAUCACGUGCGCCUCACAUGCGCAAGGUCGCGGGAUCGAAUCCCGGCCGCGGCGGCU